Molecule: ribosomal RNA, 438 nt
Filed under: Triticum aestivum (bread wheat)
Lineage: Eukaryota; Viridiplantae; Streptophyta; Magnoliopsida; Poales; Poaceae
Description: partial small subunit ribosomal RNA
Source: RNAcentral
AUGACUUUCGUCAAAUUAUCAGCGUCAUUUUUGUCUUGGGAAAUGGAAUCAGAAGCAUCUUUUCUAGGAGAAAAUAUAUGCUUGUGUUCAGUCGUUACCUGGUGCUUCAACAUUGCAUACUUGAUGGAAUCAAGAACAUCUUCUGCUGUGAAAACCGCAUCUCUGAGUCUCUGGAUCCACGAUUGCAAUUUGGAAUCAUCAACUUCCCUUUCCCUGGCCCGGCUGAUUGCUUCUGAAAUCUGCUCAAGGCGCCACUUGAGCUUUUCGGUGUUGGUCACGAAAUUCUUCUGGUCCUUGUACCGGUCCUUUGCAUACUGUAUCACAGGGUCGGCGAGCUUGGAAAGGCAGACAGACACGAACCAUCCAGCCACAGCGAGCUUGACCAUCACCAUGGCAGAUCAAAAUUUCUGGAUCUCAGGGGGUCCAGGAAGAGGAUGA